AUACGUAGGGUGCAAGCGUUAAUCGGAAUUACUGGGCGUAAAGCGUGCGCAGGCGGUUUUGUAAGACAGUGGUGAAAUCCCCGGGCUCCACCUGGGAACUGCCAUUGUGACUGCAAGGCUGGAGUGCGGCCGAGGGGGGUGGAAUUCCGCGUGUAGCAGUGAAAUGCGUAGAUAUGCGGAGGAACACCGAUGGCGAAGGCAAUCCCCUGGGCCUGCACUGACGCUCAUGCACGAAAGCGUGGGGAGCAAACAGGAUUAGAUACCCUGGUAGUCCACGCCCUAAACGAUGUCAACUGGUUGUUGGGGAUUUAUUUUCUCAGUAACGAAGCUAACGCGUGAAGUUGACCGCCUGGGGAGUACGGCCGCAAGGUUGAAACUCAAAUGAAUUGACGGGG
This 395-nucleotide ribosomal RNA is filed under the name uncultured bacterium. RNAcentral's name for it is "partial 16S ribosomal RNA". It matches the Rfam family "Bacterial small subunit ribosomal RNA", at positions 523 to 918 of the family's 1533-position model. The record is from RNAcentral.